GAUGAACGCUGGCGGUGUGCCUAAUACAUGCAAGUCGAGCGAACAGACGAGGAGCUUACUCCUCUGACGUUAGCGGCGGACGGGUGGGUAACACGUGGAUAACCUACCUAUAAGACUGGGAUAACUUCGGGAAACCGGAGCUAAUACCGGAUAACAUGUUGACCCGCAUGGUUCAACAGUGAAAGACGGUCUUGCUGUCACUUAUAGAUGGAUCCGCGUCGCAUUAGCUAGUUGGUAAGGUAACGGCUUACCAAGGCAACGAUGCGUAGCCGACCUGAGAGGGUGAUCGGACACACGGGAACAGAGACACGGCCGAGACUCCGACGGGAGGAAGCAGUAGGGAAUCCUACGCGAGGGGCGAAAGCCGGACGGAGCAACGUGGCGUGAGUGAAGAAGGUCUUAGGAUCGGAGAACGCUGUUAGUAGGAAGGAACAAAUGUGUAAGUAACUGUGCACGUCUUGACGGUACCUGAUCAGAAAGCCACGGCUAACUACGUG
This 497-nucleotide ribosomal RNA is filed under the name uncultured bacterium. RNAcentral describes it as "partial 16S ribosomal RNA". It matches the Rfam family "Bacterial small subunit ribosomal RNA", at positions 28 to 507 of the family's 1533-position model. The record is from RNAcentral.